UAAACGACUCUCGGCAACGGAUAUCUCGGCUCUCGCAUCGAUGAAGAACGUAGCGAAAUGCGAUACUUGGUGUGAAUUGCAGAAUCCCGUGAACCAUCGAGUCUUUGAACGCAAGUUGCGCCCGAAGCCUCGGCUGAGGGCACGCCUGCCUGGGUGUCACACGU
This 164-nucleotide ribosomal RNA is filed under the name Combretum mkuzense. RNAcentral describes it as "5.8S ribosomal RNA". It matches the Rfam family "5.8S ribosomal RNA". Rfam says of the family: 5.8S ribosomal RNA (5.8S rRNA) is a component of the large subunit of the eukaryotic ribosome. It is transcribed by RNA polymerase I as part of the 45S precursor that also contains 18S and 28S rRNA. The record is from RNAcentral. Lineage: Eukaryota; Viridiplantae; Streptophyta; Magnoliopsida; Myrtales; Combretaceae.